This 468-nucleotide ribosomal RNA is filed under the name uncultured bacterium. Its description in RNAcentral is "partial 16S ribosomal RNA". It matches the Rfam family "Bacterial small subunit ribosomal RNA", at positions 28 to 507 of the family's 1533-position model. The record is from RNAcentral.
GACGAACGCUGGCGGCGUGCUUAACACAUGCAAGUCGAACGGAAAGGCCCUGCUUUUGUGGGGUGCUCGAGUGGCGAACGGGUGAGUAACACGUGAGUAACCUGCCCUUGACUUUGGGAUAACUUCAGGAAACUGGGGCUAAUACCGGAUAGGAGCUCCUGCUGCAUGGUGGGGGUUGGAAAGUUUCGGCGGUUGGGGAUGGACUCGCGGCUUAUCAGCUUGUUGGUGGGGUAGUGGCUUACCAAGGCUUUGACGGGUAGCCGGCCUGAGAGGGUGACCGGCCACAUUGGGACUGAGAUACGGACCAGACUCCUACGGGAGGCAGCAGUGGGGAAUAUUGCACAAUGGGGGGAAGCCUGAUGCAGCAACGCCGCGUGCGGGAUGACGGCCUUCGGGUUGUAAACCGCUUUCGCCUGUGACGAAGCGUGAGUGACGGUAAUGGGUAAAGAAGCACCGGCUAACUACGUG